RNAcentral lists this ribosomal RNA (499 nucleotides) under uncultured bacterium. RNAcentral's name for it is "partial 16S ribosomal RNA". It matches the Rfam family "Bacterial small subunit ribosomal RNA", at positions 28 to 507 of the family's 1533-position model. The record is from RNAcentral.
GACGAACGCUGGCGGCGUGCCUAAUACAUGCAAGUCGAGCGGACUGAAUGGGAGCUUGCUCUUGUUCGGUCAGCGGCGGACGGGUGAGUAACACGUGGGCAACCUGCCCGCAAGACCGGGAUAACUCCGGGAAACCGGAGCUAAUACCGGAUAACACCGAAGACCGCAUGGUCUUUGGUUGAAAGGCGGCGCAAGCUGCCACUUGCGGAUGGGCCCGCGGCGCAUUAGCUAGUUGGUGAGGUAACGGCUCACCAAGGCGACGAUGCGUAGCCGGCCUGAGAGGGUGACCGGCCACACUGGGACUGAGACACGGCCCAGACUCCUACGGGAGGCAGCAGUAGGGAAUCUUCCGCAAUGGGCGAAAGCCUGACGGAGCGACGCCGCGUGAGCGAAGAAGGCCUUCGGGUCGUAAAGCUCUGUUGUGAGGGACGAAGGAGCGCCGUUUGAGGAAGGCGGCGCGGUGACGGUACCUCACGAGGAAGCCCCGGCUAACUACGUG